UUUGGAAAUUGUAUCUGCUCUUGGCCAUUAUCGUAUCAUUCACUCCUCCUUUUCCUAUUUGUUUCCUAAACUUCCAGCAGCUGCCUCUUGGGCUCCUGGGCUUCAUGCCAUCGGACACUCCCAUAGUGAGGCCCACCCCUUUUCGCUGCUGACUCACUGGGUGGAGGUGGUUUUGGAGAACCAAGAACGAUUUUCUAGUCUUUUAAAUGCAGUUUCCCAGGGAGAAUGUUAAAAAGAAAAGCUCUGGUUCACCAGGAUGGCCUUGUUAUGCUUUGGGCAAAGUUGAGUAAUUUCUUGAGUCACCCUGGGGUUUGUGUAAGCUUUUUUACACACGCUUUUCAAAUGUACCUUUUGAAUAGAUGAUACUUGCCCAAUUCCAAAAGAGUUAAAGGUACAUUAUGUCCUAGCUCUCCUCCUGGAGGCAGCCACUGGUUUUCUACUUCCUUGAGGGGACUUUCAGGUUAUUCUCUACAUGUUCAAGGAAGUAAAUGUAUUUCUUUCCACAUUUGGUUGCAAAUGACCUAUGUCAUUUUCAACACCCCCUUACUAGGACUUAGGGAUAAUUUAAUAUAUAAGAAACAAAAGAGCUGCUCAUUUUCAGUAGCUGCAUAACACUUCAUUGUACGGCUAUCCAUAAUCUAUUUAACCUGUCCCUUACUGAUGGACUUUUAGAUUGUUUUUAACUUUUUUCUAUUAUAGAUAGUGCUGUAAUUAAUAGUCUUGUACAUAUAUGUGUUGUAUUUGUGCAAAUAUUUCUAUAAGAUACAUCUCUGGAAAUGGAAUUGUGUUCUAGUUCUUUAUGUAAUUACAUUUUUCAAAAUGUAACCAGAUUCACUUUCUUAAAAAUUGCAUUAAGUUUU
This is a long non-coding RNA of Myotis davidii, 860 nucleotides long. RefSeq lists it as uncharacterized. NCBI's taxonomy places the organism in Eukaryota, Metazoa, Chordata, Mammalia, Chiroptera, Vespertilionidae. The record is from RefSeq and is a predicted model, not a curated record. The transcript has 2 exons.